AAGAGGUGUGUAUAAAUCAUUUAGAACUGCUAACUCUAACAACUAAGAAUAACAUCCUUAGACCUCUUAC
RNAcentral lists this transfer RNA (70 nucleotides) under Darevskia portschinskii. RNAcentral's name for it is "tRNA-Ser". The record is from RNAcentral. Lineage: Eukaryota; Metazoa; Chordata; Lepidosauria; Squamata; Lacertidae.